CGGAGGAGUUCGCUGCGGAAACAUGUGCAUAACAGGGACCAGACCUCCUGACCGUUGCAACGGAAUCCUGAAAUGUGGAUUUUUUGUGUGUGAAACCUGCUAAAUGUUGAAGUUGGUCGUUCACAAAAUGUUCUUUUAAAUGCUACAAAGAUCAACCCAAACAGCUCUGAGGGCCAAACUGCAAGCUGUCAGGUACUUGAUGGAGACUUUGAUAUAUUUCCUUCCCAUUCCUACCAAGAGCCUCCAGAGUAGGACGUGGUCUCCCCGUUUCCUAAAUGGCCUGAGGGGCCCGUUGGCUGGCCGGUCCUCGGCAGCUCUGCCCUGGACCCUGCGAGUUUAAGAAAACUGCAAAGAAAGACCUCUGGCUCCGUGAACACCAGGUCCGAGUUUUCCUGUCUAUAGCGCCGUGGCAUGGGUCCCUGAGGGAGACUUUCCGGUUCAACGCUGUCACUCCUGUCCCUCUAGGUUACAGCCUCUCGCCAAAGACGACUCCUUCCCUUUGGAGCACGUGUAAGACUUGAGAUAGUGCAUCUGUUUGUAUAUUUAUUUGGUCAACACCUGUCUCUCCUCCUGAACUAUAGAGCUCCAAAAAGACAGAAACUAUUAGGAUUUUGUACCUCCCCAGAGCUAGCAUGGUGCCUGAUCCAAAGAAAGGGCUGAAUAAACACUUGCUGAAUGAAUCAGAGAAGGGGGAGACCAGACAGGGGCCAUGGAAGGGCCCCAAUCAAUUCCGCUGAACUAAUGCCACCACCCCGAGGACAGAAAGCAUCUGGGAACCUUUUCAAAGGCUCUGGCACUCCCUUCACCAGUAACACGGCCCAGCCAAGCCAGCGAACACCAGGAAAACCACCAGGGUGGGGACUCCCGUCACCGUGCUCUGGGCAGUUCUGGCCUUUCCUGCUUCAGGAUCCCGCCACUCACUUCCUGAGACAGGCCACAGGGCCGACUGCCCCAGGGCAGGCCUAGCUCUUGUGCCUUUGUACCCAUAGCCUGAGAAACCGGUCACAGAGACAGAGCCCCCGUGAAACAGCCUUUGUGUGCAACACCAGCACGUCUCAGACACACACGCCGAGCCCAGGCUGCAGCAGACGCCGGGAGCCCAGACGCCUGCCCUGGCUGGGGUGGGGGCGCCAGGGCCUCCCAGGCCACGGGAGCGGUAAAGAUACAGCUGUGCUUGUCAAAUCAUGGCUAAGGAUGCUCUGACGUAGGGAUCCGGGACAUGGGAUUUACCCGACUGGAGGCGACAACGUGAAGAAGCGAACGGAAGAAGUGGGAGCAGCGGCCCCAGUGCGUGGCUGAGGAGCGCCAGCUUCCCAGCCUGCUUCCAGGGAGCUGCACACACAACGUGGCGCUGCAGCACCGAGUGCUUCCCGGAGAAGGGGAGGCAAGGGGUGCUCCAAGAAGGGGUGUGCCCCGACCCCAUGCUCCUCAGAGGGACCUGGCCCGCGCAAUGCUCCCACAGCUGGGGGGCCCUGGGAGUGCUUUCCGGGGCCCUCCUGUGACAGAACUUCUCGCUGCUCAGGGCCAGCCAGACGCCCAGGACCCCAGGUGGGAAAUGUGGGCAGACGUGUAACGAGGUGGCGGAGGGAGGUGCCAGGAGGGGCCGGGGUCUGCAGGGAGCUGCGCUGCACAGAGGGGCGUUCAGAAGGAGGAGCAGCAGCACAGGGCCAGAGCCCAGAGCCCCCAGGACGAGACCCGGAGAGGAAGAAAGGCGCAGGCCACGCGCCGACCCCGACUGGCAUAGCCUCCACGGGGAGGCGGGGACUGCAUCUCUCUCUCUCUCUCUCUUCUCAGCCCACCUUCAUCUCCAAAUGGCCCAGGGACCAAGUUGGAGGGACCUUCUCACAGCAAAGCAAAUAAAUACCUGAGCCACUGCAGAAGUGGGAACAGAGCUCUGGUCAAACGUUUUGACUGCCUGACAGUCUAAUGAGAUGGCCUCAAAGUCUGGACUGCUUGUAAUAAAAAUAUUUUUAAAGUUAUGUAACUGGGUCACCAUGGAGUUUUUCCCUUCUUGUAAAUAUUACAUAAUUACGAGAAGGAAACACACUUGUGUAAGGAGGGGGAGGCAGGCAAAUUGGCUCAAGACACAAAUCUGGGAACCGAGGCCGCUAAGAGAUACCUUCCAGAAGGUAAUCUGGGAGCACCAACUGCGACACAAGUCUUUGAAAACAGGCUCAUUAGUGGACAUUUGUUCAGCGAGGUUGCUGCAGAGACAGACACACUGGGUCUUGCAGUUGGAGGUUCAUUUCAAAACGCCUCAAGACCCACGCUGCCCCCAUCUCCAGAGGAUUCAGGACGCUCCUUGUUUGUUUGAAGACCUCAGUCCCCACGGCAAAAACCAAGUACACAAGGGCCGGGUUUGAUUGACUUUUCAUUUUUCUUUAAAUUUCCACCCAUUCCCACAAAGAAAAUACCAGCACCUCCACUCAGUGUCCGGAAAAUAGAAACCCCCUUUCCUUGUAUUGUUUUAUUUCAGGACGGGGGACACAGAGAGAAGACAGGGUGAUGUGGCCCGGUCCUCCAAAGGACCCCCGAACGUGGCUGGGAACACAAACGAUGACACGUACCUGCGACAGGAGAUAGAGAGAAACCGGCAGGCUGAUUUUCGGGCGCUCUCCUCCCUAGGGAAGGUCAGGGGGAAAGAGGGAGAGAGAGAGGCGUCCUGGUCAGGCAUGUGAGCAGCACAAAAAGACAUGAAGCCAAAAGCCAUCUGUCUGAAGGAGAGGUGCCCUGUCCCCCCACUUCCUCUGUGACCCUAAGACGGUUCUUUCCCGGUAAGCGUCAAAAGUCCACUCUGCAAAAUAAACUCGAAACCUAAUCCCAUC
Molecule: long non-coding RNA, 2825 nt
Organism: Suricata suricatta (meerkat)
Lineage: Eukaryota; Metazoa; Chordata; Mammalia; Carnivora; Herpestidae
Exons: 2
Source: RefSeq, a predicted model, not a curated record